This 1180-nucleotide long non-coding RNA is filed under the name Equus asinus (donkey). RNAcentral describes it as "lncRNA (ENSEASG00005035177.1)". Lineage: Eukaryota; Metazoa; Chordata; Mammalia; Perissodactyla; Equidae. The record is from RNAcentral.
GGUUUCCAUUACAUGGGAGCAAGAAUCCUGGACAGUGCCCUUGUUCAGGGGCUUGAGACAUUGACUACAAAGCAUUUGGGGAACACAGAUGACUGCUUGUCUAGUGACCCCUCAAUCAUCAAGGAAGUUUCCCAGGGGAGAAUUUUGGACGAAGCCACAUAUAAAGAGGAUCAAGGCCGAUGGAGCAGCCACCAUCCAGAACAUUGUCAGAGGCAGACAGGAAAAGAGAAUGUGGAAAGCAUAGGCCGACUUUUAAAGCUUCUACCAGUCACUUCUUUUUGUUGUUUUGGUAAAGAAGACUGGCCCUGAGCUAACAUCUGUUGCCAAUCUUCUUCUUCUUUUUUUUUUGCUUGAGGAAGAUUGUCCCUGAGCUAACAUCUGUGCCAGUCUUUCGCUACUUUGUAGGAGGGACACUGCCACAAUAUGGCUUGAUGAGCAGUGUGUGGGUCUGCGCCCAGGAUCCGAAACUGCAAACCCUGGGCUGCCAAAGUGGAGUGUGUGAACUUAACCACUACACCACAGGUCUGGCCCCUUACCAGUCACUUCUGAUCACAUUUUAUGGUCAAAAGACGACAUGGCCCCACUUCAAGUGUGUGGUCAAGUGCUGUUCUACCAAGUGGCCAGAAGGAGAGAGCUAGAAUAAUUAUGAACAAAUCUAAUGACACAAAGGGAUGAUUUACAUAAAAGUCAGGAUACUUUUGAGAAGCUAGAAGGCAAAUGCAAUUUGGGAGGGACGUAGGAGGGCUCCUGAGGUACAUUAGUGCUCUUUUUCUUGGCAUGGUUGGUGAGUUUACAGGCUUGAGUAGUCUUUAAAUUGUACAUAUAUGUUUUCCUAUAUUCCUUAUUUAUAUUUCAUAAUAAAAGAUAAAAUAAAAUAUAAAAAAGAACCCUUUAAAACAUACAGGUCAUAUAUAUGGUCAUUUAGUUAUAGAAAAUGUUUGGAAGGAUUUAAGAGACAUUGUUAACUCUCUUAGGGAGAGGAAGGAGAGAUUGGGAGAGAUGAAAUGGAAAAUUUUACAUUUCAUUUUCUGCCUUUGGGUUUAAAUUUCUUUCUUAUAGUGUACAUGAUUUGCUUUUAUAAUGAAAGAUUAAUUUUUUAGAAAAGCAUAAAAAUCAAGAAACAAAAUAAAAAAAUGUGACUGGCCUCAGUGUGAGAUGUGUGUGUGCUCCCCAACUUUAG